RNAcentral lists this ribosomal RNA (253 nucleotides) under uncultured microorganism. Its description in RNAcentral is "partial 16S ribosomal RNA". It matches the Rfam family "Bacterial small subunit ribosomal RNA", at positions 524 to 776 of the family's 1533-position model. The record is from RNAcentral.
UACGUAGGGUGCGAGCGUUAAUCGGAUUUACUGGGCGUAAAGCGUGCGCAGGCGGCCCGUUAAGACAGGUGUGAAAUCCCUGGGCUCAACCUAGGAAUUGCGCUUGUGACUGGCGGGCUGGAGUACGGUAGAGGGGGGUGGAAUUCCUGGUGUAGCAGUGAAAUGCGUAGAUAUCAGGAGGAACACCGAUGGCGAAGGCAGCCCCCUGGGCCUGUACUGACGCUCAUGCACGAAAGCGUGGGGAGCAAACAGG